Molecule: ribosomal RNA, 403 nt
Filed under: bacterium
Lineage: Bacteria
Description: partial 16S ribosomal RNA
Rfam family: Bacterial small subunit ribosomal RNA
Source: RNAcentral
UGGGGAAUAUUGCACAAUGGGGGAAACCCUGAUGCAGCGACGCCGCGUGAACGAAGAAGGUAUUCGUAUCGUAAAGUUCUGUCCUAUGGGAAGAUAAUGACAGUACCAUAGAAGAAAGCUCCGGCUAAAUACGUGCCAGCAGCCGCGGUAAUACGUAUGGAGCGAGCGUUGUCCGGAAUUAUUGGGGGUAAAGGGUACGCAGGCGGUUUAAUAAGUUGAAUGUUAAAGAUCUGGGCUCAACCCCGCAAAGCAUUGGAAACUGAUUAACUUGAGUAGUGGAGAGGAAAGUGGAGUUCCUAGUGUAGUGGUGAAAUACGUAGAUAAUAGGUGGAGUACCAGUAGCGAAGGCGACUUUCUGGACACAAACUGACGCUGAGGUACGAAAGCGUGGGGAGCAAACAGG